UUUAAUAAUAUUGUUUUGUUAUUUUUCUUCCUCAUCUCUCUCUCUUUCGCGAAUCUCUCCAGUAGAGAUUUGUCUCAAAAUCGGAAUGACAAUCGGCGAGUUGUUCUUUGAAAACGUUGAGUCUCCUUCACCAAAUCAAAGCGUUGAGUCUCAUUCACCAAAUCGAAGUGUUGAGUCUCCUUCACCAAAUCGAAGUGUUGAGUCUCCUCCAUUUCUCUUGUGUCCUCCUCUCAAGUCAGUCAGGAUUCUACUCUAAAGCUGUUUGACGGCUGUUCAUCUAGUUGCAAAUGCAGAGGUGAGUGUACCAACAAGCCGUUCCAACAAAGACAUAUUAAGAAGAUGAAGUUAGUUCAGACAGAAAUGUGGAUAUGGGAUUGCAACAGAUGAAGAUAUAUCAUCGAAUAUGUGGGGAAGUUUCUUAUUUCGUUUUGUUAUAUUGGAGUGGAGAUGCCAAGUGUAUUACUCGUGGCAGCAAUGACAAAUUGCAAGACCCACCUGUAUCAAGUGGUGAAGGAAAUGGUGGACAAGAUGGCUUACGAAGUAUGUCUCAUGGUUUCAGUUUGUCCUCAUUUUUGUAAUCUCCUCUUCUUGUGAACAUAUUGUUUCAUGGAUUUUUUGGUCACUCUUUCAGUUUUUAUUCUUAAGAACCCAAUUAUAGUUUGUAGUUUGUACCUUGG
Camelina sativa (false flax) is the source of this 677-nucleotide non-coding RNA. The record is from RefSeq and is a predicted model, not a curated record. NCBI's taxonomy places the organism in Eukaryota, Viridiplantae, Streptophyta, Magnoliopsida, Brassicales, Brassicaceae.